Molecule: ribosomal RNA, 793 nt
Filed under: uncultured archaeon
Lineage: Archaea
Description: bacterial SSU rRNA
Rfam family: Archaeal small subunit ribosomal RNA
Source: RNAcentral
ACUGCUCAGUAACACGUGGACAACUACCCUUUGGUCCGGCAUAAUCCUGGGAAACUGGGGAUAAUUCCGGAUAGGUCACAGGUGCUGGAAUGCACUGUGGCUGAAAGCUCCGGCGCCGAAGGAUGGGUCUGCGGCCUAUCAGGGUUGUAGUGGGUGUAAUGUACCUACUAGCCUACGACGGGUACGGGUUGUGAGAGCAAGAGCCCGGAGAUGGAUUCUGAGACACGAAUCCAGGCCCUACGGGGUGCAGCAGGCGCGAAAACUUUACAAUGCGGGAAACCGUGAUAAGGGAAUCUCGAGUGCCAGCAUAUAAUGUUGGCUGUCCAGAUGCCUAAAAAGCAUCUGUUAGCAAGGGCCGGGCAAGACCGGUGCCAGCCGCCGCGGUAACACCGGCGGCCCGAGUGGUAACCGCUUUUAUUGGGUCUAAAGGGUCUGUAGCCGGCCAGGUAAGUCCCUUGGGAAAUCUGGCAGCUCAACUGUCAGGCUGCUAGGGGAUACUGUUUGGCUUGGGACCGGGAGAGGUGAGAGGUACCUUGGGGGUAGGGGUGAAAUCUUGUGAUCCUCGAGGGACCACCAGUGGCGAAGGCGUCUCACCAGAACGGGUCCGACGGUAAGGGACGAAAGCUAGGGGCACGAACCGGAUUAGAUACCCGGGUAGUCCUAGCCGUAAACGAUGCUCGCUAGGUGUCAGUCACGGUGCGACCGUGAUUGGUGCCGUAGGGAAGCCGUGAAGCGAGCCACCUGGGAAGUAUGGCCGCAAGGCUGAAACUUAAAGGAAUUGGCGGGGGAGCAC